Molecule: long non-coding RNA, 1907 nt
Organism: Equus asinus (donkey)
Lineage: Eukaryota; Metazoa; Chordata; Mammalia; Perissodactyla; Equidae
Source: Ensembl
CCCAAUUUCAUUGGUUUUCUCGCUAAUCCAUCAAACCGAAGGCCUUUAGUGUUCCAGUCACAACGGCUACCUAUCCGCGCCACUCCGCAAGGGGACAAGGAAGCCCCGCCCCUCUGCCUCUUUCCAGUGGCUACUGGUGGUGCCCAUCUUCUGCGUCUCCACCCGAUUGGUUAAUGGGGAGUAGAAAGCGUCCCCUCGCCGGAUCGUAGGACUGGCGGUCUCUGAUUGGGUGAAAAAGGGGAGCCCUCAGGCCGGUAGGCGCUCUUUGGCGCAGUCUAGGAAAGAACGCAUGCGCGAACACGCUUUCAGGCGCCUCCCGGGGCGGAGCGACCCUCUAAGGGAGCUAGGGCCUGCAGUACCCUGAGUAUUUGUUGCGUGACUGCUGUGUGCAGCGGCGGAAGGCUGGACCAAGACACAGGGGCGGUGCCAGCUCAGCUCUGUUCCCAUCACUAUAGCCUCUUCCUCGCCACCUCUAGCCUUCACAGGGCCGGAGGAAUUUUUUUUAACGCUAAUUUGACCCUUUCUCUCAUUAUAAAACCAUUUGCUGCCGCCGCCUGUGUUGCGACCGUGGCCAGUCCGGCGGCGUCGUUUCACCACUCCAUCCUUAAACUCGGCCACAGUGACUGUUUGCAGUUUGCACGUGGGGAAGCCUCUUUCGCGCACCUCUCGACCUUUGCCCGUGCAGCCCUUCCACCUAGAGCAUUUGCUCCACUACCCCUCCUGCCAGAGCAAGGAAUAGCUCCUCUUGUCGUGCAGUCCCGGUUCACUCCGAAAAGCCUUCCUUGUCCCUGCCAGCCCAGACCCCCGGCUUCCCCCAUGGUAACCCCUGAUCGCUCAGUCUAGGGACUGUCCAAGUCCUGCACGGGCAAGGGAGCGGCGGUCCCUGCCUCGGCCCGCCCACCAAGCACCGGGGACAGCACCCGGCACGGCGCUAGCGCUCAGCCAAGGGGAGUCAGGGUGUUCUAACCGUCUGGCAGGGCUUCCUUCCCCAGGGGCGGGGUAGGGCCACCCUGCAGAGAAUGCCCUCGCUCAGAGUCUCUAGGGUCCAACGACGCCCAAACCUGGGGAUCUGGGGCCGGGGCCGGGGGUUGACCCAGGAUCCCGCCCUAAGGGCUCUGAGUCGUGGGGCUGCCCGCUGGGGAGACACUGCGCUUAGAAAGCGAGGACAGAGUCGUGGGAAACGCUGGGCACGCCCCCAAAGAUGCUCCGGAGCCUUCCCCACCCCGGGUGCCCGGGUCUUCUCGAAAUAGUGGUCCUUGUGGAAACUAAGUUUGAAAUGGGGUCAGUGGCACUAAGAGAGUGGGACAGGCCCGGUGGGUCUGCGGACAGAAGAAACUUGGGGGUGGGCUGAUGGAGAUCGAAACGAGCUCCCCGUCUCACUGGGAAGAGCCGAAGAGGCGGGCAGAACCGAGAUGGGGGCGGCGCAGCGCCCGCCACACGUGAUCCGUGCGACGGGAGCCAGGCGGCGCCGGUCCCCCCGAGGGGCGGGGUCGCGAUGUCCCGACGUCAGAGGAAUGCGGUGGGGGGAGGGGAGAGGGGCCCCUCCCCUCCCCGCCCCCGCGCCCGGCCCGGACGCCCCUCGCGCCGGCGCGCGCGGACGGCCCUCGGCGGAACCGGCCCGGGCGUGGCGCUUUCCGGGCCACUCGCCCGCUGCGCGCGCCCACGGCGGGCGACCAGGCGGCCGCGUUAUCUGCAAUCCCGCGCUCCCGGCCGCCGCCCCGCCCCCACCCCGGCGCGCGGCCCUGGGCGGCGGGCGGCUGGGGGCGCCUCCCGCCGAUCCCCCCGCCCGCUCCCCGCCCCUCUCCCCCAGCCCCUACCAGCUCGGCGGCGAGCCUGGCCGGCCGUCCGGGAUCGAAAAGAGAGCAGACACUGGGAAGUUUUGGGGGAGGGAGGGGCGGGCCUUAAAG